Molecule: ribosomal RNA, 554 nt
Filed under: uncultured organism
Description: eukaryotic LSU rRNA
Rfam family: 5.8S ribosomal RNA (bases 162-315)
Source: RNAcentral
GAGGACCGUAGGUGAACCUGCGGAAGGAUCAUUAACACAAAAAUCCGAACCUAACCUUACUUCUGGAGCGGAGUCUCUUAGCAAUAGGAGACUUCGACUUCUUUUUUUGAACCUUUAUGUCAAUCGACAUGAUCAAGUUUUCUUAAAACAAAAAAUAAGAAAAUUUUCAACGAUGGAUAUCUUGGUUCCCAUAACGAUGAAGAACGCAGCGAAAUGCGAUACGCAAUGCGAAUUGCAGAAUUCCGCGAGUCAUCAGAUCUUUGAACGCAGCCGGCGCUGGCGGGAUAUCCCACCAGCAUGUUUGUUUCAGUGUGUUUGGUUGACUUCACACAACUCAAUGCGAUUGAGGUCUUUCUCGUAAAGGUCUCUCUCGUGAAAGAGGGAAGCUUGCGGCUGAGCCCGCCAAUGGAGUGGUCACUGUUCAACAGUGAUUUCAUUGGAGUCACAGGUUCAGCCUUGAAAUGCAUAGCUUUUUUUAUUUACAACUCUUCAAUCAGCACCUGAAAUCAAGCAAGAUCACCCGCUGAACUUAAGCAUAUCAAUAAGCGGAGGAA